This 123-nucleotide small RNA is filed under the name Salegentibacter echinorum. RNAcentral describes it as "Salegentibacter sp. HD4 6S-Flavo RNA". It matches the Rfam family "6S-Flavo RNA". The record is from Rfam by way of RNAcentral. Lineage: Bacteria; Pseudomonadati; Bacteroidota; Flavobacteriia; Flavobacteriales; Flavobacteriaceae.
ACUCAACAGAGAUUCUUUAAAAAGGGUGAGUCUAAGUUGUAAAAGCGCGCCGCUCCCAAUGUAUUUUGGGAUGAGCGGAUUCUUGAUCAGCUUGUUAGCCCUAAACUUGUUUUUAGGGAGUUU